RNAcentral lists this long non-coding RNA (386 nucleotides) under Gossypium raimondii (Peruvian cotton). RNAcentral describes it as "long non-coding RNA (GRAI_LNC001292)". Lineage: Eukaryota; Viridiplantae; Streptophyta; Magnoliopsida; Malvales; Malvaceae. The record is from RNAcentral.
GCUCGUGCUGCAUCACUCGGAGGACAUCCCCACAUGACGGACCAGGCGCCGCCCGCGUAACCGCAAAGCUAUAUGGACCAUCACUCUGCGACACGCUAACAACACUUGGGCCACCAAAGAGGUUGUGAACUCCACCGAGGGAUUCCUGGUAAGCCCCACCCAAGAACAUCCCCAAAUAGUACCGCCCAUUAGCACCACCACUGCUACCACCACCAUUACCUUCCAACCCAUGUAAAGGCAAGCUUGUUUCACCUCCGAUGAACUUAUCAAUCUUCCCAUCACUGUCACAGGUUAAAUCAGACAAAAUCCCCCUCACUUCAGGCCUUUCAUCCAAUCGAUGAAUGGGGACUAUGGGAAAAAUCUGACCAAUACUCCAAAAAUCAGGG